UUCAUAUGUGAUCCCUAACAUUCUCCCCUUACUUUCCCCUUCCAUCGACCAAUCAGGUUGUUGGAAUUUUUCUUCUCUCUCUUUUCCAUUUGAUGUUCUCACUUUAUCGGUUUAAAGAGGGAAAAUGUAAGCAUUACAAUCAGUUGCAAGAAAAGUGGUUAACAUGAACGUUGAUUGUGUCGAGAAACUAAAUCGUUUCCAUUUUAAUUGUGUUAAUAAUUGUUACCAUUGAGAUUAACUGAUUAACGACAGUUGAUUGUAAACUUUCACCGAUCUAAGAUCUUUGACACCUGUUGCCAACCACCGAGUUACAUUCAACCUGCGAAAGUGUUGAAAAUGACACAAUAAAAUGGCCAAUCAAUAUGUUGAUCAACAUUUUCUCGGUGAAUUUAAAACAAUU
Molecule: long non-coding RNA, 400 nt
Organism: Panonychus citri (citrus red mite)
Lineage: Eukaryota; Metazoa; Arthropoda; Arachnida; Trombidiformes; Tetranychidae
Exons: 2
Source: RefSeq, a predicted model, not a curated record